Molecule: ribosomal RNA, 448 nt
Filed under: uncultured prokaryote
Description: bacterial SSU rRNA
Rfam family: Bacterial small subunit ribosomal RNA
Source: RNAcentral
UCGGGAAUCUUGCACAAUGGGCGAAAGCCUGAUGCAGCAACGCCGUGUGAGCGAGGAAGGUCUUCGGAUCGUAAAGCUCUGUUGUUGGGGACGAAGGGCGAAGGGUUAAUAGCCCCUAGCCUGACGGUACCCUUCGAGGAAGCCCCGGCUAACUACGUGCCAGCAGCCGCGGUAAUACGUAGGGGGCGAGCGUUGUCCGGAAUUAUUGGGCGUAAAGAGCGUGUAGGCGGCCUGGUAAGUCGGAUGUGAAAGCCCAGGGCUUAACCUUGGAAUUGCAUUCGAUACUGCAUGACUAGAGUAUGGUAGAGGGAAGUGGAAUUUCCGGUGUAGCGGUGAAAUGCGUAGAUAUCGGAAGGAACACCAGUGGCGAAGGCGACUUCCUGGGCCAAUACUGACGCUGAGGCGCGAAAGCGUGGGGAGCAAACAGGAUUAGAUACCCCUGUAGUCC